RNAcentral lists this small RNA (288 nucleotides) under Arabidopsis thaliana (thale cress). RNAcentral describes it as "ATSL275620". The record is from RNAcentral. Lineage: Eukaryota; Viridiplantae; Streptophyta; Magnoliopsida; Brassicales; Brassicaceae.
AGCUUCAUCACUCUUGAAGAUAACCCCUCUAUGACUCUGCUUUGCCAUUUAAAUUUUUUUCUCAUCUCAUACCAGUCAUCUUCUCUAGGUUCUUCAGUCUGAGCUAACCAUGCUGUUGCUCUCUUCUAGUGGUCAAAAGUUCUCUUCAGCUUGCUGAGUUGAGAAGUAUAGUUAAAUCUUGGUGGGUUUUCAGCUUCUGUUUCUACAUCAACAUCCAUGUCCUGAAUCCCGAAAUUUUGACCUUCUAAUGUUGAUUUCCUUGAAGCUUUGCUCAUGUCAAAUUUCAUC